Molecule: long non-coding RNA, 880 nt
Organism: Mesocricetus auratus (golden hamster)
Lineage: Eukaryota; Metazoa; Chordata; Mammalia; Rodentia; Cricetidae
Exons: 5
Source: RefSeq, a predicted model, not a curated record
GUCCGUCGGGCGGGCUAGACCGCAGCGGGCGCGAGCGGGCCCGCCCAUCCGGGCCUCUGCGGCUGCGCGAGCCGGUGCGGCGACAGGGGUUGAUGGCGUCCCUUCUCCAUCUCUUGCGCUUUUGUCACCCGUGAGCCGAGCGGCAGAACUCGCUUGGAGUUUUUACUUCCAGUCAACGCUGAAGGCCAUCUGUAGAGAUAGAGGAACAUUUUAAAAUCCAGCGGCGAGAGCUCCAGAGAAGGAAACUGCAAAGAAGUGCCACAAGGUGGUGAUCUUCACACAUCGUCAGAGAGGAAACUUGCAUCACAUUUGAAAGGGUCUUAGGAAUUCUGGACACUUUUCUCAGACAUGGAAGGAAGCCCCCUAAAUUCUUUGGUGUUCCAGGGUAUCUGAUGCACUCCUCUGAACUCCAUGGGCCCCAGGCACGGAUAUGGUGCACAGACAUACAUGCAGAGGAGAGGAGAAGUCAUUGGAUCCCCUGGAGCUGGAGUCACGGGAGUUGUGAGCCACCCAAUGUGUGUGCUGGGUGAACUUGUGGCCUCUGAAGAGCAGUAAGCCAGGUUUCUCUGUAUUGCUUUGGAGGCUGUCCUGGAACUUGUUCUGUAGACCAGGCUGGCCUCAAACUCACAGAGAUCAGCCUACCUCUGCCUCCUGAGUGCUGGGAUCAAAGGUGUGAACCACUACUGUCUGGAUGCUCUGGGCUUUCUUAAGUUGUUUUCUCUGAAGAUAGGCUCUCACUCCACCCCGGCUUUCUGUGUAGCUGACCCAACUAAAAAAUGGUGUUCUUUUUUUCUUUUCUACCUUCCCCCCUCAGGUAGCUGCCUGCCCUGUUUUUCUGUAUUUCUCUUUCACAAAUGUUAAUAAAAUUGUUCACAAAUUU